Molecule: ribosomal RNA, 419 nt
Filed under: bacterium
Lineage: Bacteria
Description: partial 16S ribosomal RNA
Rfam family: Bacterial small subunit ribosomal RNA
Source: RNAcentral
UGGGGGAUAUUGCACAAUGGGCGAAAGCCUGAUGCAGCGACGCCGCGUGGGGGAUGAAGGCCUUCGGGUUGUAAACUUCUUUUGCUCUGAACAAGGCAUGCUAAUGGGUGUGUUGAGUGUAGGGGUUGAUUAGCGCCGGCUAACUACGUGCCAGCAGCCGCGGUAAUACGUAGGGCGCGAGCGUUGUCCGGAAUUAUUGGGCGUAAAGGGCUUGUAGGUGGCUGGUUGCGUCUGUCGUGAAAGCUCAUGGCUUAACUGUGGGAUUGCGGUGGGUACGGGCUGGCUUGAGUGCAGUAGGGGAGGCUGGAAUUCCUGGUGUAGCGGUGGAAUGCGCAGAUAUCAAGAGGAAUACCGGUGGCGAAGGCGGGUCUCUGGGCUGUUACUGACACUGAGGAGCGAAAGCAUGGGGAGCGAACAGG